RNAcentral lists this ribosomal RNA (315 nucleotides) under uncultured Methanosaeta sp. RNAcentral's name for it is "bacterial SSU rRNA". It matches the Rfam family "Archaeal small subunit ribosomal RNA", at positions 1028 to 1338 of the family's 1478-position model. Lineage: Archaea; Methanobacteriati; Methanobacteriota; Methanomicrobia; Methanotrichales; Methanotrichaceae. The record is from RNAcentral.
GUUAAGUCAGGCAACGAGCGAGACCCACGUCCACAGUUGCCAGCGAUACCCUCCGGGGUGAUGGGGUACACUGUGGAGACCGCCGCUGCUAAAGCGGAGGAAGGAGUGGGCAACGGUAGGUCAGUAUGCCCCGAAUCUCCCGGGCUACACGCGGGGCUACAAUGGUUGGUACAAUGGGGCAUCUACCCCGAAAGGGGAAGGAAAUCUCUUAAAGCCAAUCGUAGUUCGGAUUGAGGGCUGCAACUCGCCCUCAUGAAGCUGGAAUCCGUAGUAAUCGCGUUUCAACAGAACGCGGUGAAUACGUCCCUGCUCCUU